CCGACCGUACUCGGCCUACAUGCGCACCUUCCAUUCCAACACAUUGGUCCUCGCACACCAACUCAGCCAACAAUGAAGCAUACCUGGAGGUAACAGGUAUAAACACACUGUGAAACGUCAUCGCAGUGAGUAAGCAAUUAUCACAAUUUGAUCGCGUAAACAAGUGUAUUGAACCUCCCAGAAAACUGAUUCUAAACUACCCUAAUCUAGUGCUACUUAAUUGCCUUAAAUCUAACUUAGUCUAAUGUAGUCUAGUGCCUAGAAACUACCGUAUAACUACAACUAAAGUCGGUAAGGAUUUAAUGCCAAUUUAUUAUAAAUAUGUAUAUUACAGACUACUCUUAAAAUUAGGAUAGCGAUAGCAGUUACCCACUAGCGGGAAUCCGUGGUUUAUAUUUUGCUAAAAUUCGACCUAAAUCGCACCAGAAUUUCCGUAUCGUAACCAGAUAAACGAAAUACAGUAGGCACUAAACGUGAGUAAAUAUUAAAUAUACUUAUAUCAAUAAUUCCAAUGCAUACAAACUAAAUAUGAAUAUGCAUUCAAAACUUAGCUUAACUUAUCUAAACUUACAUCUAGAUAUAUUUUCAUUAUAUAUAUACGAUUACUAAAGUUAACUAAUCUAAACCUAUGCUACGCUAAAAUGUACAGUUAAACUAAACUAAGAUUCAUUUACUUUCUCAAUAGGAAAAUUAUAAUCUCCCGUUACGAAACCCGAGUGUUUUAUUGGAGAUUACAAUUGCGGAAAUACCCUGCUGUUACUCCGUUGGCCAAAGUCAACAUAUUAUAAUUUUCGUUUAUACGAAUAUCUACGAUUAAUUCUCCGGUAUGUCGAACCGAAAUAGAGCGAAACAGAGUGGAAAAAGCACUUCAGAGGGUGCCAAAGAUAAUGCUACUGCGGCAUGGCCAAAACCGGUAGGAAGGGGUGUGUCGGACAGUGGAAAAGUGUGUGGUAGUGGUAAAAUUGGACAGGUGAUCUCAAAAGUUCCAAGGGGUAAGCAGUUCGAUGAUACUGUACCCGGCUGGGCGUGUAAAAUCUGCCAGGGAGCGGAUACCGAAGAUAUGGUACAAUGCGAUGUUUGCGAUAAGUGGCAUCAUUAUGAGUGUGUUGGAGUAGCAGACGAUAUUGCGAACGUCAGCUGGAGAUGUCCCAACUGCGUAGCUGAAAGGGAGUACCAGCGUAAACUGCAGCAGAUCCCAAAAUAUGCAGGUGGUCAAGACAAAUCGUCUAAACAAAAUCAAACCGGUGGUGAUUCGGUUAUUCCUGCGGUCCCGAUUAAUGCGCCGCUUGGAUUACCCAUCGCAGUAGGUGUGGCGGGCCCUUCGAUUUCGUCUGGACGAAAUCCAAUAGUUUCCAAAAUGGUUGCGGCUUUGGAGGUCAAGCAGUUUAAACACAGUCAAUCUAUUACGUUGCCGGUGCAUCCCAAUCCGGACACGAAGGCGACUAUAUUAGCGAAUAGAGCAAGGUCAGCAAAUUCACAAUCGUGCUCGAUAAAGUCGCUUUUGAAGCUAGAACUUCAAAAAUUAGAAGAGGAGCGGGCUUUCGAACAACAGGAGGCGGAGAGACGUAGAAUUCUGGAGCAGGAGGAAGCAAAAAGACGACGAGAUUUCGAGCUGCGUGAAGCGGAGAAGUAUCGUGAAUACAUCAAGAAGAAAUAUGCUCUACUUGAAGAAAUGUCGAACCGGUCUGAUUCAAGUCGCAGCGAGGCGGCGAGCAGAGUUAAUGAUUGGGUAAGCAGCGUAAAUAUUAUGCAACAAAGAGGGCGGAAAGUUACUCAGACCGCUCGCGGCUUCAAUCCACACCAACAUUCUAGUCAGCAUCAAUUCUCGUUUCCGGACCAUGAUGAUAUUCCUCGAAGUAAUUCACCAGCCGUAGGUUCCAUUAUUGGAAGCGCAUGUAAUGUUCAAAGAGAAUCGAUGAUAGCUGCAGACCGAACCCGUUCUCAUUCCAACGUCACGAUCCAUGGUAACGAAUGCCGGAUUGCACAUUCCGGACGAAUGACGCAACGAGCUAGUCAACUGCCAAUACGUGAAGAAGAGGAACCGGAUCCUUGUCAUCUCAGCAAGAAGCAAUUAGCCGCACGUCAAGCAGUUUCCAAGGACCUGCCCUACUUUUCCGGCAAACCAGACGAGUGGCCUAUUUUUAUUUCGGUCUACAAUAGCACCACGGCUAUGUGUGGAUUCUCUGACGAAGAGAACAUCAUCCGUCUUCAAAAGUGUCUGAAGGGGAAGGCUUACGAAGCUGUACAAAGUCGACUGCUGUAUCCGUCGAAUGCUCCGGGUGUAAUUGCAACAUUGCGGAUGCUUUAUGGACAACCAGAAGCUAUUGUCCACUCAUUGAUAGGGAAAAUCAAUGCGCUUCCCCCACUGCGGGAAGACAAACUGGAAACCAUCGUAGAUUUCGCGGUGAACGUACAGAAUUUCUGUGCUACAGUCGACGCUUGCGGCAUUGCAGACUAUAUGUACAACAUCUCUCUUCUACACCAGCUCGUCAGUAAGCUUCCUCCUACUAUCAAGUUGGAUUGGGCACGGUAUCGACAGACCCUUUCUGUCAUUAACCUAUCCACAUUCGGAGAAUGGAUAUACUCUUUGGCUGAGGCAGCAAGCGCUAUUAUUAUUCCACCAGUGAUGGUGGAGACCAAAUCAGCACGCUACGAGGCGAAAGGGACCAAGAAGGAAAAUGCCUUCCUUUAUGCACACUCCGAAACAUCAUACCCACCCCCUUCACCAUCGAUCGCGCCACAGAGUGGUGUUAGGGAAGAAAAGUUAAAAGAAUGGGUUGAUAACAGCUGCGCAAUCUGCAAAGGCAAUUGUAAAGCAAUCGCUAAAUGCAUGCGUUUCCAGGAGCUGUCCAGGGAUUCGCGGUGGGCCGCUGUGCGGGAAUUCAACUUAUGCCGGCGAUGUCUCCACAAGCAUAGCGCUAACAGUUGUUAUGCUAAGUUGUGUGGAAUAAACGGAUGUACAAGAAUGCACCAUGAACUGCUGCACAACGAUCGAAAGGACGAUUUCAUAGUGACACACUCAGAUAAAACAACACCGUCUCCGCAGAUACAGAAUGAAGAGCACACUCAAGGGUUCAAUUUACACCAUUCUAAUUCAAGCGCUGUGUUGUUCCGUUACAUACCGGUUGUUCUACACGGAAAACACCGUUCCGUACAAACGUACGCAUUCUUCGAUGAGGGGUCAGAGUUGACACUACUCGACCAGCAGCUGUCAAACGAGCUCAUGUUGGAAGGAACAAUGCAACCGUUAUGCCUCAAAUGGACUGGGGGUACACUGCGCAACGAGAUGAAGUCCGAAGUCGUCAGCCUGGAGGUGUCGGGAAUGGAGAACAAUGCCAAGAAGUUCAACCUCGACGCUGUACGAACCGUUGAAAGUCUACUUCUACCGCGUCAAACAGUCGACAUGGAGAAGUUGGUGCAGCUAUAUCCUCAUCUACGCAGAUUACCUAUCGAAUCAUACCACGAAGCUAGACCACGCAUUCUGAUCGGUAUGAAGCACGUAGGAGUAAGUGUCGCCCUGAAGACUAAAUUAGGGGGUUACGAUGAACCGGUCGCAGUAAAGACUCGAUUGGGGUGGACCUUAUGUGGCGGAUAUAAGAAGAAUGAAUCCGUCUCCACAGGACAUUGUGCAUUUCACGUAUGCGCAGAAACAGAGCACUCCGACAAGAACCUACAUAAAACCGUGAAUACUCAUCGCACGCAGGAUAGUCUAAGCAUAGAAAAAUUCGAUAACAUCCUUAUAUCUUCCGAUGUUCAUGGCGCAGAGAACUCAGACCUAAAAGUAAAACACCAUGAAACCCAUCUGUCUGUGCGUUGCGACGAUGUACUUCUACCAGACUGUGGUGAAUUGACUCUUCGUCGACACCAAAACCGAUCGUCGACAGCACAAAAAGGUGCCAGCAUGUACGAGCGACCUACUUCAAAGCUGGUGAUGUUGGACGUUUGGCGCGAUAAAUAGUAAGCCAGCUUGGAGGCUGGCGUACCUGGGGGGAGUGUUAGCCGACCGUACUCGGCCUACAUGCGCACCUUCCAUUCCAACACAUUGGUCCUCGCACACCAACUCAGCCAACAAUGAAGCAUACCUGGAGGUAACAGGUAUAAACACACUGUGAAACGUCAUCGCAGUGAGUAAGCAAUUAUCACAAUUUGAUCGCGUAAACAAGUGUAUUGAACCUCCCAGAAAACUGAUUCUAAACUACCCUAAUCUAGUGCUACUUAAUUGCCUUAAAUCUAACUUAGUCUAAUGUAGUCUAGUGCCUAGAAACUACCGUAUAACUACAACUAAAGUCGGAUAGCGAUAGCAGUUACCCACUAGCGGGAAUCCGUGGUUUAUAUUUUGCUAAAAUUCGACCUAAAUCGCACCAGAAUUUCCGUAUCGUAACCAGAUAAACGAAAUACAGUAGGCACUAAACGUGAGUAAAUAUUAAAUAUACUUAUAUCAAUAAUUCCAAUGCAUACAAACUAAAUAUGAAUAUGCAUUCAAAACUUAGCUUAACUUAUCUAAACUUACAUCUAGAUAUAUUUUCAUUAUAUAUAUACGAUUACUAAAGUUAACUAAUCUAAACCUAUGCUACGCUAAAAUGUACAGUUAAACUAAACUAAGAUUCAUUUACUUUCUCAAUAGGAAAAUUAUAAUCUCCCGUUACGAAACCCGAGUGUUUUAUUGGAGAUUACAAUUGCGGAAAUACCCUGCUGUUACUCCGUUGGC
RNA transcript from Topomyia yanbarensis, 4708 nucleotides. RefSeq lists it as uncharacterized. The record is from RefSeq and is a predicted model, not a curated record. Lineage: Eukaryota; Metazoa; Arthropoda; Insecta; Diptera; Culicidae. The transcript is spliced from 2 exons.